AACGCUAGCUACAGGCUUAACACAUGCAAGUCGAGGGGCAGCAUGAACUUAGCUUGCUAAGUUUGAUGGCGACCGGCGCACGGGUGAGUAACACGUAUCCAACCUGCCGAUGACUCGGGGAUAGCCUUUCGAAAGAAAGAUUAAUACCCGAUGGCAUAGUUCUUCCGCAUGGUAGAACUAUUAAAGAAUUUCGGUCAUCGAUGGGGAUGCGUUCCAUUAGGUUGUUGGCGGGGUAACGGCCCACCAAGCCUUCGAUGGAUAGGGGUUCUGAGAGGAAGGUCCCCCACAUUGGAACUGAGACACGGUCCAAACUCCUACGGGAGGCAGCAGUGAGGAAUAUUGGUCAAUGGACGAGAGUCUGAACCAGCCAAGUAGCGUGAAGGAUGACUGCCCUAUGGGUUGUAAACUUCUUUUAUACGGGAAUAAAGUGAGGCACGUGUGCCUUUUUGUAUGUACCGUAUGAAUAAGGAUCGGCUAACUCCGUGCCAGCAGCCGCGGUAAUACGGAGGAUCCGAACGUUAUCCGGAUUUAUUGGGUUUAAAGGGAGCGUAGGCGGACGCUUAAGUCAGUUGUGAAAGUUUGCGGCUCAACCGUAAAAUUGCAGUUGAUACUGGGUGUCUUGAGUACAGUAGAGGCAGGCGGAAUUCGUGGUGUAGCGGUGAAAUGCUUAGAUAUCACGAAGAACUCCGAUUG
This 693-nucleotide ribosomal RNA is filed under the name uncultured bacterium. RNAcentral describes it as "bacterial SSU rRNA". It matches the Rfam family "Bacterial small subunit ribosomal RNA", at positions 32 to 715 of the family's 1533-position model. The record is from RNAcentral.